Bos taurus (domestic cattle) is the source of this 1614-nucleotide long non-coding RNA. The record is from Ensembl. NCBI's taxonomy places the organism in Eukaryota, Metazoa, Chordata, Mammalia, Artiodactyla, Bovidae.
GGUUCUUGAAGGCCGUCACCUGUGCCUGGUGGGUCUGUGUGAGAACACUCAGGUCCUGCCGCUUUGAUAACUUUCGAAGUCCUUCCCUGAGGCUGCUCAGCUGGCUCAGGAGCAGAGAGACGCAGAACCCGGUGGAGCCAUUCUCACCCCCAGGCCUUCUCACUGAAACCUCAGAACAACACCCAGGAGACCCUCCUCUCGUCCCAGCAGGGGGACUGAGGCCUCCCCAGUCUCCAGCCUGGGAGCCACUCACUACCCACGGGGCCCACUUAUGUCUAAAUUGAUUAAAAUUAGGUGAAAAGUUUAGUCACACAAACUGAAGUACUGAGCCCUUUACCGUGGAAAGUUUCAGGGGGCGGCUGCUUGUGGUUCAGAAAGUUGGUCACAGGCAGGAGUCUAGAGCUACUCAGGAGGGCAGCCACCUUGGCCCCACCCCAGGCCCUGUUAUUGCAGAGGGGCCACCUGGGGGCUGCUGGGCUGACUGUGAGCGUUCUCACCCACCCCUCGACCAGCGAGCAGCUUCGUCCCGUAGGCCCGGGUUGUCAGGAGCACCGAGGAGUCCCCCCGCAGUGGCCCUGGCAGGUCAGCCCGAGAGAGCAGGGCCGCCACGUCUGCGGGGGCAGCCUCAUCAGCCUCCGUGGGUGCUGCCCGCCGCCCACUGCGUCUGCAGCUCUGUGAGCCUGACCGUCCAGCUGGGAGCAUCUGUCCUGCACACCAGCCCCCCAGGCUGUCUUCGUGGCUGUGCUCUGCGUCAUCUGACACCCCUCCUUCAACGGGAAUGUGCCUGCUGAAGCUGGCUCCGCUGUGCCCGUCUCCCAAACCGUCAGGCCCAUCCCUCUGGCCUCGGCAGGCUCCUCCUUCCCACCGGGCACCCUCUGCUGGCUCACCGGCUGGGGGGACAUCAGGCAGGAUGGGUGACUCUGGAGGUCCCCUGGUCUGCCCGCUCCAGGACCAGCGCUGGGCACAGGUGGCAGUGGUGAGCUUCAGUGGGGUCUGCGCUGAGCCCAGCCACCCGGGCGUGUGCGCCAAUGUCUCUACCUGCCAGCCCUGGAUCCGCGCCUCGGCCUCCUGCCGAGACACCUGCUCGGGGGCUGACCCCUCCCCGGGGCAUGGCCUGCCCUUCUCCCAUCAUCUCCUCCGAGCUGCCCAUUUCUGUGGGGCCCUUCCCUGCUCUGGCUCCCUGUCCCGCCUGUCCCCGCCUGUCCCGCUCUCCACCCUGACCCCCACGUGACCAGGAUGGAAGACAGCCGGGGCAUGCAGCCGGCUUGACUUGUUUAAAGCAAAGAGCUGGGUCAGGAGGGAAGCACAAAGUUGCUGGGCCCUGCGGGUGGCCUCGGGGGCCCUGGGGGCCUGGGGGACUGGGGGCGGCCAACACCCUGAUGCUAACACCAAAUGCUUGGUAGCCUGCUCCUCUGGCCUGUUCAUUUGAACAGUCAUGGCAGUGGGGGCUGCAGGACCACAUGUCCUAAGCGGACAUCCCCAGGGGGGCUCUGCACCCCUGGUUUGGGGGUGUCUGAGGUGGGGGAGGUGGGGAAGGCUGUGGAUAGUGUUUGGUCUCAGAGCAGUGGCCUGAGGCUCACCCUGGUCUGGGAAGGCUACAUAACUGGCAGUGUC